GGAACGUUGUGUACGUCCCUGGCUAGAUACUGGCUGGGGGGAGGACAUUGGCUGAGCUGUGUGACUUUAUUGGGAAAAUAAGGAUUCUUGCUGCCUCAGCUUGGCAUUCUCCUCUCAGAUGAUGCUGCCAGGCGCUCGUUAUGGCCAUUUCACUUCUAUGCCAGUGUUGUGCUUGGCCAGAUGUAAGAAGAACUAAAAGCUGCAGCAAUGCUGGAGAAAGACAAACACAGACCAGGCUUCUCUUCAAUCCCAACGCAAUCUCUGAGACAUCUCUCUUG
Molecule: long non-coding RNA, 278 nt
Organism: Eleginops maclovinus (Patagonian blennie)
Lineage: Eukaryota; Metazoa; Chordata; Actinopteri; Perciformes; Eleginopidae
Exons: 3
Source: RefSeq, a predicted model, not a curated record